RNAcentral lists this small nuclear RNA (134 nucleotides) under Pogona vitticeps (central bearded dragon). RNAcentral's name for it is "U1 spliceosomal RNA (ENSPVIG00000008564.1)". The record is from RNAcentral. Lineage: Eukaryota; Metazoa; Chordata; Lepidosauria; Squamata; Agamidae.
UGACUGAAUUAUCCGGGAGACAAUAUACUCAUGGAAAUAGUUUUCCCAGGAUGAAGCUGAUCCAUUACACUUUGAGUGUGUUGAUCCCUAUGCUUUUCCCAAAUGUGGGAAAACUGCUUGCAUAAUUUAUAAUC